AGAGUUUGAUUAUGGCUCAGAUUGAACGCUGGCGGCAUGCCUUACACAUGCAAGUCGAACGGCAGCACGGGAGCAAUCCUGGUGGCGAGUGGCGAACGGGUGAGUAAUAUAUCGGAACGUGCCCAGUUGUGGGGGAUAGCCCGGCGAAAGCCGGAUUAAUACCGCAUACGACCUGAGGGUGAAAGCGGGGGAUCGCAAGACCUCGCGCAGUUGGAGCGGCCGAUAUCAGAUUAGCUAGUUGGUGAGGUAAAGGCUCACCAAGGCGACGAUCUGUAGCUGGUCUGAGAGGACGACCAGCCACACUGGGACUGAGACACGGCCCAGACUCCUACGGGAGGCAGCAGUGGGGAAUUUUGGACAAUGGGCGCAAGCCUGAUCCAGCCAUGCCGCGUGUGGGAAGAAGGCCUUCGGGCUGUAAACCACUUUUGUCAGGGAAGAAACGGUUUGAACUAAUACUUUGAACUAAUGACGGUACCUGAAGAAUAAGCACCGGCUAACUACGUGCCAGCAGCCGCGGUAAUACGUAGGGUGCAAGCGUUAAUCGGAAUUACUGGGCGUAAAGCGUGCGCAGGCGGUUAUUCAAGACAGAUGUGAAAUCCCCGGGCUCAACCU
This 612-nucleotide ribosomal RNA is filed under the name uncultured bacterium. RNAcentral describes it as "bacterial SSU rRNA". It matches the Rfam family "Bacterial small subunit ribosomal RNA", at positions 8 to 615 of the family's 1533-position model. The record is from RNAcentral.